UAGGGAAUCUUCGGCAAUGGACGGUAGUCUGACCGAGCAACGCCGCGUGAGUGAAGAAGGUUUUCGGAUCGUAAAGCUCUGUUGUAAGAGAAGAACGAGUGUGAGAGUGGAAAGUUCACACUGUGACGGUAUCUUACCAGAAAGGGACGGCUAACUACGUGCCAGCAGCCGCGGUAAUACGUAGGUCCCGAGCGUUGUCCGGAUUUAUUGGGCGUAAAGCGAGCGCAGGCGGUUAGAUAAGUCUGAAGUUAAAGGCUGUGGCUUAACCAUAGUAGGCUUUGGAAACUGUUUAACUUGAGUGCAAGAGGGGAGAGUGGAAUUCCAUGUGUAGCGGUGAAAUGCGUAGAUAUAUGGAGGAACACCGGUGGCGAAAGCGGCUCUCUGGCUUGUAACUGACGCUGAGGCUCGAAAGCGUGGGGAGCAAACAGGAUUAGAUACCCUGGUAGUCCACGCUGUAAACGAUGAGUGCUAGGUGUUAGACCCUUUCCGGGGUUUAGUGCCGUAGCUAACGCAUUAAGCACUCCGCCUGGGGAGUACGACCGCAAGGUUG
Molecule: ribosomal RNA, 550 nt
Filed under: uncultured bacterium
Lineage: Bacteria
Description: bacterial SSU rRNA
Rfam family: Bacterial small subunit ribosomal RNA
Source: RNAcentral